UGGGGAAUCUUGCGCAAUGGGCGAAAGCCUGACGCAGCAACGCCGCGUGGAGGAAGAAGGCCUUCGGGUUGUAAACUCCUGUCAGGGGGAAAGAAGGCACCUGGGUUAAUAGCCCAAGGGCUGACGGUACCCCCAGAGGAAGCCACGGCUAACUACGUGCCAGCAGCCGCGGUAAUACGUAGGUGGCGAGCGUUGUCCGGAAUCAUUGGGCGUAAAGCGCGCGUAGGCGGCUUGUCAGGUCCGAUGUGAAACCUUGGGGCUUAACUCCAAGCGUGCAUCGGAAACCGGCUUGCUAGAGUCUGGGAGAGGGAAGUGGAAUUCCUGGUGUAGCGGUGAAAUGCGUAGAUAUCAGGAGGAACACCAGUUGCGAAGGCGGCUUCCUGGAACAGUACUGACGCUGAGGCGCGAAAGCUAGGGGAGCGAACAGG
Molecule: ribosomal RNA, 428 nt
Filed under: uncultured Gaiellales bacterium
Lineage: Bacteria; Bacillati; Actinomycetota; Thermoleophilia; Gaiellales
Description: bacterial SSU rRNA
Rfam family: Bacterial small subunit ribosomal RNA
Source: RNAcentral